AGGGUUGUAGUUAAUUAUAACAUUUGAUUUGCACUCAAAAAGUAUUGAAGAUUUUCAAUCUUCCUUG
RNAcentral lists this transfer RNA (67 nucleotides) under Tabanus chrysurus. RNAcentral's name for it is "tRNA-Ala". It matches the Rfam family "tRNA". From Rfam's summary of the family: Transfer RNA (tRNA) molecules are approximately 80 nucleotides in length. Their secondary structure includes four short double-helical elements and three loops (D, anti-codon, and T loops). Further hydrogen bonds mediate the characteristic L-shaped molecular structure. tRNAs have two regions of fundamental functional importance: the anti-codon, which is responsible for specific mRNA codon recognition, and the 3' end, to which the tRNAs corresponding amino acid is attached (by aminoacyl-tRNA synthetases). tRNAs cope with the degeneracy of the genetic code in two manners: having more than one tRNA (with a specific anti-codon) for a particular amino acid; and 'wobble' base-pairing, i.e. permitting non-standard base-pairing at the 3rd anti-codon position. The record is from RNAcentral. Lineage: Eukaryota; Metazoa; Arthropoda; Insecta; Diptera; Tabanidae.